RNAcentral lists this long non-coding RNA (437 nucleotides) under Homo sapiens (human). RNAcentral describes it as "non-protein coding lnc-NKAIN1-2:1". The record is from RNAcentral. Lineage: Eukaryota; Metazoa; Chordata; Mammalia; Primates; Hominidae.
AUCAUAUCAGUUAUACAGAAGUACUACUUUGGGACACAGUCUUCAGGAGAGCCUAGAUGAGCUCAUAAAAUCUCAGCAGUUCACUCAACUUGCCCUUCAAGUUUUACUUCAGUUUGAUAAGGCUAUAAAGUCAUCAUUGGCUCAGAGGAUUAGGAACAGAGUUGAUUUCAGGGGCUCUCUAAAUACAUACAGAUUGUGCCAUAUGCCACGCAUGGUGGCUCAUGCCCGUCAUCCCAGCACUUUGGGAGGUGAAGGCAGGAGGAUUGCUUGACGCGAGGAGUUCAAGACCAGCCUUAACAACAUAGGAAGACACUGUCUCUACAAAAAAAAAAAAAAAAAAUUAAUUGAGAAAAACAAAAAGAUUCUGUGAUAAUAUGUAGACUUUUGUGAAAAUUAUGGCCUGUGAUGAUAAAAAUACUGGCUCUAAUACUAUAGAA